AGAGUUUGAUCAUGGCUCAGGACGAACGCUGGCGGCGUGCUUAACACAUGCAAGUCGAGCGAGGCCUCUCCUUCGGGGGGGUGCCCUAGCGGCGAACGGGUGAGUAACACGUGGGCAACCUGCCCUCAGCUUCGGGAUAACUCCAAGAAAUUGGUGCUAAUACCGGAUGUGACCGCUGACCGCAUGGUCUGGUGGUGGAAAGAUUCAUCGGCUGGGGAUGGGCCCGCGGCCUAUCAGCUUGUUGGUGGGGUCACGGCCCACCAAGGCGACGACGGGUAGCCGGCCUGAGAGGGUGACCGGCCACACUGGGACUGAGACACGGCCCAGACUCCUACGGGAGGCAGCAGUGGGGAAUAUUGCGCAAUGGGCGAAAGCCUGACGCAGCGACGCCGCGUGGGGGAUGACGGCCUUCGGGUUGUAAACCUCUUUCAGUAGGGACGAAGCGGAAGUGACGGUACCUACAGAAGAAGCACUGGCCAACUACGUGCCAGCAGCCGCGGUAAUACGUAGGGUGCAAGCGUUGUCCGGAAUUAUUGGGCGUAAAGAGCUCGUAGGCGGUCUGUCGCGUCGGCUGUGAAAACCCGAGGCUCAACCUCGGGCCUGCAGUCGAUACGGGCAAACUGGAGUACUGCAGGGGAGACUGGAAUUCCUGGUGUAGCGGUGAAAUGCGCAGAUAUCAGGAGGAACACCGGUGGCGAAGGCGGGUCUCUGGGCAGUAACUGACGCUGAGGAGCGAAAGCGUGGGGAGCGAACAGGAUUAGAUACCCUAGUAGUCC
This 776-nucleotide ribosomal RNA is filed under the name uncultured bacterium. Its description in RNAcentral is "bacterial SSU rRNA". It matches the Rfam family "Bacterial small subunit ribosomal RNA", at positions 8 to 796 of the family's 1533-position model. The record is from RNAcentral.